GGCGGCAGUGAGGGUGUGUGUAUGUGUGUGUGAGAGCUCCGGGAGGGAGGGUGAGGAGGGGGGGUGAGGGGGGAGAAGGUAGCCCGGAUUGGUUCGGGUUCUCCACAGACGAGACAGGGAACAGAAGAUCUGAGACCCUCCCUGCCGGUACCGCCUCCUUUCCCCCCACCCGCCCCACUUCUCUGAGCUCGGGGAUCCAUAGGACCCUGAAAGUUUGGGAAUCUGAUCCUCCCCAGGGCUCCUCGAAGGGUCUGGGGGCUCUCUGGCCUUAAUGUAGAGGUCCCGGGGCCCUGGUGAAGGAAAUCUGUCUGAUUCGGGUUCGGCAGCUGCUAACUUCGGGAUGAAAUUUCCUCUCGCCUAAUUAGGGUCGUCUUACAUCCAAAGCAUCGCAGCCUAGGACCAGACAACCCCCUUGGGCCCCCCACCUCCCAGGUUCUGGAGGGGAAACCUAGGCCGCGCAAACUUGCCUACCCCAAACCGGGCUUUCCUUUGAGCUGCGCACUGCUGAGGACGGAAUCGGCGCGUCCUGGAGCUGCGCUCUGCGCGGGAGUUGGGAGCAACGAUCCCCGAUCAGGAGUGCUCCCAGCAAGACCAGAAGACCAAUGGAUUAGACCAAGCCCACAUUAGUCACAGGCAUCCUGGAAACCAAAAGCUGAUCUGUCUAUAAGUGCAAAGGGAAAGGAGGCUGAUGGUACUUCAAUUACCUUUUUCUGUUGGCUAUGUUUAGCCUGACCAAGAGCUAAUUUGCUUAGGUGCUACUAUUCACAGAUGGCUUAUUAUUAUUAUUAUGGAAUCCUGUAUCGUAUUGUGGCUCCAAGUACUCGUGUUUUGUGUCUAUGCAUGUACUGCCCUGAAAGCCGCAGGUAAUAGAUCCCACAUGUAAUUGUGUUUGUUUUUAAAAAUAAAGGAGGCUGAUUCUAAUACUCUGUAGGAGAG
RNAcentral lists this long non-coding RNA (936 nucleotides) under Monodelphis domestica (gray short-tailed opossum). RNAcentral describes it as "lncRNA (ENSMODG00000046503.1)". Lineage: Eukaryota; Metazoa; Chordata; Mammalia; Didelphimorphia; Didelphidae. The record is from RNAcentral.